GAUGAACGCUAGCGGCAGGCUUUAACACAUGCAAGUCGAGGGCAUCGAGAGAGUAGCAAUACUUUUGUCGGCGACCGGCGGACGGGUGCGUAACGCGUAUGCAACCUACCUUAUACAGGGGGAUAACCUUUCGAAAGGGAGACUAAUACCGCAUAACAUUACUUUGAGGCAUCUUGAGGUAAUUAAAUCUUCGGAGGUAUAAGAUGGGCAUGCGUAGCAUUAGCUAGAUGGUGCGGUAACGGCGUACCAUGGCGACGAUGCUUAGGGGUUCUGAGAGGAAGGUCCCCCACACUGGUACUGAGAUACGGCCCAGACUCCUACGGGAGGCAGCAGUGGGGAAUAUUGGGCAAUGGGCGAAAGCCUGACCCAGCAACGCCGCGUGAAGGAAGAAGGCCUUCGGGUUGUAAACUUCUUUUACCAGGGACGAAGAACGUGACGGUACCUGGAGAAAAAGCAACGGCUAACUACGUG
RNAcentral lists this ribosomal RNA (471 nucleotides) under uncultured bacterium. RNAcentral describes it as "bacterial SSU rRNA". It matches the Rfam family "Bacterial small subunit ribosomal RNA", at positions 28 to 507 of the family's 1533-position model. The record is from RNAcentral.